Molecule: ribosomal RNA, 468 nt
Filed under: uncultured bacterium
Lineage: Bacteria
Description: partial 16S ribosomal RNA
Rfam family: Bacterial small subunit ribosomal RNA
Source: RNAcentral
GAUGAACGCUGGCGGCGUGCCUAACACAUGCAAGUCGAGCGAUCUUCUUCGGAAGAGAGCGGCGGACGGGUGAGUAACGCGUGGGUAACCUGCCUCAUACACAUGGAUAACAUACCGAAAGGUAUGCUAAUACAAGAUAAUAUAAGGGAUUCGCAUGGAUUUCUUAUCAAAGCUCCGGCGGUAUGAGAUGGACCCGCGUCUGAUUAGCUAGUUGGUAAGGUAACGGCUUACCAAGGCGACGAUCAGUAGCCGACCUGAGAGGGUGACCGGCCACAUUGGAACUGAGACACGGUCCAAACGCCUACGGGAGGCAGCAGUGGGGAAUAUUGCACAAUGGGCGAAAGCCAGAUGCAGCAACGCCGCGUGAGCGAUGAAGGCCUUCGGGUCGUAAAGCUCUGUCCUCAAGGAAGAUAAUGACGGUACUUGAGGAGGAAGCCCCGGCUAACUACGUGCCAGCAGCCGCCGUAA